CCCAAAACAGCUAUAUAAUUGUUAGAGCUGACAGGGGAAAAAACUGGACUCCAUGCUCAAAAGCAUCACUUAUGAAUCAUUAUGCAGCAUCUUGAACUGAUGUAAUAUCUUUUAUCAAUGCAAGUGGGUUUACAUAAAGUAUCCAUUAUACUGGUUACCAUACUAAAAAUACACAGGCUUGAUUAGGGCUAGAAAUUCUUAGAUGAAGCCUUCCAUUUUUAUUUUUAAUCCUUAUCAUUUUCUAUAUUUUUAAUCCUUUGGAAACAACCACUAUGAAUGAGAAACUAAGUGUGGGAGACUCUGAAGACAAAGGCUGAGUCACAGCUGAGAAAACAACUCUGUGAGUCCUUCAGCUGCCUUCUCCUCUGAGGGACACAACGCCAUGACUCUGCUUGAGGUCUUCACGUAAUUCUGAGAGGAAAUUCUCCACAGGCACCAGACGUUUCCUCAACAGACCUUCCUUUAGCUGCAGCUUCUGUUUAAAUCAUGGUUCAUGGGAAGUGAUGAGGGAGAACAGAAGAGCAACACAGAAACUUGCUGUAAGAAAAUCAGCACUAUAAAAAACCUGUUUGCAUUUUACAUCCUGCUCCAUGUCCCUAACAGGGGCUACAGGUGUGAUCCUAAGGGACUGCUUUGACAAG
This 641-nucleotide long non-coding RNA is filed under the name Gallus gallus (chicken). Lineage: Eukaryota; Metazoa; Chordata; Aves; Galliformes; Phasianidae. The record is from RNAcentral.